This 455-nucleotide ribosomal RNA is filed under the name uncultured bacterium. RNAcentral's name for it is "bacterial SSU rRNA". It matches the Rfam family "Bacterial small subunit ribosomal RNA", at positions 340 to 789 of the family's 1533-position model. The record is from RNAcentral.
UACGGGAGGCAGCAGGGGGAAUAUUGCACAAUGGGCGCAAGCCUGAUGCAGCCAUGCCGCGUGUAUGAAAAGGCCUUCGGGUUGUAAAGUACUUUCAGUCGUGAGGAAGGUGUUAAGGUUAAUAACCUUAGCAAUUGACGUUAGCGACAGAAGAAGCACCGGCUAACUCCGUGCCAGCAGCCGCGGUAAUACGGAGGGUGCGAGCGUUAAUCGGAAUUACUGGGCGUAAAGGGCACGCAGGCGGUUAAUUAAGUUGGAUGUGAAAUCCCCGGGCUUAACCUGGGAAUGGCAUUCAAGACUGGUUAGCUAGAGUCUUGUAGAGGGGGUAGAAUUCCAUGUGUAGCGGUGAAAUGCGUAGAGAUGUGGAGGAAUACCGGUGGCGAAGGCGGCCCCUGGACAAAGGACUGACGCUCAUGUGCGAAAGCGUGGGGAGCAAACAGGGAUUAGAUACCCGU